RNAcentral lists this ribosomal RNA (479 nucleotides) under uncultured bacterium. RNAcentral describes it as "partial 16S ribosomal RNA". It matches the Rfam family "Bacterial small subunit ribosomal RNA", at positions 28 to 507 of the family's 1533-position model. The record is from RNAcentral.
GAUGAACGCUAGCGGGAGGCCUAACACAUGCAAGCCGAGCGGUAUUGUUUCUUCGGAAAUGAGAGAGCGGCGUACGGGUGCGUAACACGUGUGCAACCUGCCUUUAUCUGGGGGAUAGCCUUCCGAAAGGAAGAUUAAUACUCCAUAAUAUAUUGAACGGCAUCGUUUAAUAUUGAAAGCUCCGGCGGAUAGAGAUGGGCACGCGCAAGAUUAGCUAGUUGGUGAGGUAACGGCUCACCAAGGCGAUGAUCUUUAGGGGGCCUGAGAGGGUGAUCCCCCACACUGGUACUGAGACACGGACCAGACUCCUACGGGAGGCAGCAGUGAGGAAUAUUGGUCAAUGGGGGCAAGCCUGAACCAGCCAUCCCGCGUGAAGGACGACUGCACUAUGGGUUGUAAACUUCUUUUGUAUAGGGAGAAACCUACCCUCGAGAGGGUAGCUGAAGGUACUAUACGAAUAAGCACCGGCUAACUCCGUG